Molecule: transfer RNA, 65 nt
Filed under: Curculionidae sp. MT-2014
Lineage: Eukaryota; Metazoa; Arthropoda; Insecta; Coleoptera; Curculionidae
Description: tRNA-Tyr
Source: RNAcentral
GGUAAAAUGGCUGAAUUAUAGGCGGUAAAUUGUAAAUUUACUUAUGAAAUUUGUUUCUUUUAUCA